This 576-nucleotide ribosomal RNA is filed under the name Helicotylenchus sp. IV-2. Its description in RNAcentral is "eukaryotic LSU rRNA". It matches the Rfam family "Eukaryotic large subunit ribosomal RNA", at positions 405 to 813 of the family's 3401-position model. Lineage: Eukaryota; Metazoa; Nematoda; Chromadorea; Rhabditida; Hoplolaimidae. The record is from RNAcentral.
CCGAUGAGGUGGAAACGGACAGAGCUGGCGUAUCUGGCCUGUAUUCAGCCGCCGCGCGUCGGGCCCCGGUUUGCCGCUCUCCAGAUUGGGAAGGUGGCUGGGCUGCUGGCGUGUUGGUGGUGCAUUUGCAGGUGGUGCGCGCCGAGGCGCUCGGCUCAGCGGCAUGAGCUCGGCUUUGAGGCCAACCGCGCAAGCGGUCUGGUACCCGGGCCGGGGGAGUGUUGUUUGGGCUGGGUGUUCGCGUUGGACAAUGGUUUCGGGCCCGGGUGGGUGCCGAGCUGGCGGUCGGCGGCGGUCGCGUGCGACACGUGCCAGCAGUCAGUUCGGUCCUGCUCGAGCUCUCAUUUGUCCGGCCUCGGUGUAAAAGCCGGUCAUCUGUCCGACCCGUCUUGAAACACGGACCAAGGAGUUUAGCGUGUGCGCGAGUCAUUGGGCGUUGAAAACCCAAAGGCGCAAUGAAAGUGAAGGUCUGCCUUGUGCAGCUGAUGUGUGAUCCUGGGUGCUGCGGUGCCCGGGCGCAACAUAGUCCCGUCCCGACUGCUUGCAGUGGGGCGGAGACAGAGCGUACGCGCUGAG